AACGAACGCUGGCGGCGUGCCUAACACAUGCAAGUCGAGCGAGAAAGCCCGCAAGGGUGAGUAAAGCGGCGCACGGGUGCGUAACACGUGGGUAAUCUGCCCUGAAGUCCGGAAUAACUCGCCGAAAGGCGUGCUAAUGCCGGAUAAGACCACGGGAGCCUCGGCUCCUGCGGGAAAAGGUGGCCUCUGUACACAAGCUAUCACUUCAGGAUGAGCCCGCGGCCCAUCAGCUCGUUGGCGGGGUAAUGGCCCACCAAGGCUACGACGGGUAGCUGGUCUGAGAGGACGAUCAGCCACACUGGAACUGAGACACGGUCCAGACUCCUACGGGAGGCAGCAGUGGGGAAUCUUGCGCAAUGGGCGAAAGCCUGACGCAGCAACGCCGCGUGUGUGAUGAAGGUCUUCGGAUCGUAAAGCACUGUCGCGAGGGACGAAUAAGGGGCGGGCUAACAUCCCGUUCCGAUGACGGUACCUCGAGAGGAAGCACCGGCUAACUCUGUGCCAGCAGCCGCGGUAAUACAGAGGGUGCAAGCGUUGUUCGGAAUUAUUGGGCGUAAAGCGCGUGUAGGCGGCUUUGUAAGUUGGGUGUGAAAGCCCUCGGCUUAACCGAGGAAGUGCGCCCAAAACUGCAUGGCUUGAGUACCGGAGAGGGUGGCGGAAUUCCCGGUGUAGAGGUGAAAUUCGUAGAUAUCGGGAGGAACACCAGCGGCGAAGGCGGCCACCUGGACGGAUACUGACGCUGAGACGCGAAAGCGUGGGGAGCAAACAGGAUUAGAUACCCUGGUAGUCCACGCCGUAAACGAUGAGCGCUAGGUGUUGUGGGUGUUGACCCCUGCAGUGCCGCAGCUAACGCAUUAAGCGCUCCGCCUGGGAAGUACGGCCGCAAGGCUAA
This 892-nucleotide ribosomal RNA is filed under the name uncultured Anaeromyxobacter sp. Its description in RNAcentral is "bacterial SSU rRNA". It matches the Rfam family "Bacterial small subunit ribosomal RNA", at positions 28 to 897 of the family's 1533-position model. Lineage: Bacteria; Pseudomonadati; Myxococcota; Myxococcia; Myxococcales; Anaeromyxobacteraceae. The record is from RNAcentral.